GUCCACGCAGUAAACGAUGAAUACUAGCUGUAUGCGAUAUACUGUAUGUGGCAAAGCGAAAGCGUUAAGUAUUCCACCUGGGGAGUACGUUCGCAAGAAUGAAACUCAAAGGAAUUGACGGGGGCCCCGCACAAGCGGAGGAACAUGUGGUUUAAUUCGAUGAUACGCUAGGAACCUUACCCGGGCUUGAAAUGCAUCUGACCGAUCAGGAAACUGAUUUUCUAGCAAUAGCAGAUGUGUAGGUGCUGCAUGGUUGUCGU
Molecule: ribosomal RNA, 260 nt
Filed under: uncultured bacterium
Lineage: Bacteria
Description: partial 16S ribosomal RNA
Rfam family: Bacterial small subunit ribosomal RNA
Source: RNAcentral